AUUGAACGCUGGCGGCAGGCCUAACACAUGCAAGUCGAACGGUAACAGGAAACAGCUUGCUGUUUCGCUGACGAGUGGCGGACGGGUGAGUAAUGUCUGGGAAACUGCCUGAUGGAGGGGGAUAACUACUGGAAACGGUAGCUACUACCGCAUAACGUCGCAAGACCAAAGAGGGGGACCCUCGGGCCUCUUGCCAUCGGAUGUGCCCAGAUGGGAUUAGCUUGUUGGUGGGGUAACGGCUCACCAAGGGGACGAUCCCUAGCUGGUCUGAGAGGAUGAGAGGCCACACUGGAACUGAGACACGGUCCAGACUCCUGCGGGAGGCAGCAGUGGGGAAUAUUGCACAAUGGGCGCAAGCCUGAUGCAGCCAUGCCGCGUGUAUGAAGAAGGCCUUCGGGUUGUAAAGUACUUUCAGCGGGGAGGAAGGGAGUAAAGUUAAUACCUUUGCUCAUUGACGUUACCCGCAGAAGAAGCACCGGCUAACUCCGUG
Molecule: ribosomal RNA, 490 nt
Filed under: uncultured bacterium
Lineage: Bacteria
Description: partial 16S ribosomal RNA
Rfam family: Bacterial small subunit ribosomal RNA
Source: RNAcentral